UAUCAUCCAAUGCAAAGAAGGUAUAGGUCUCAGUCCCGGGCCUUGUGUGUGCUCUAGCCAAGUGCCAGCUUAAGCGGGUGAAAUGUGUAGUCCCAUAAGUCCUCCCGAGUGCUGGGGCCCUCCUUCUCCAGCUGAGCUCGUAAUGCCACAGCAGGUUCCACGGUUACAUUCAAAAGCCUCAGCAGGGAAGGCUGGCCCAGAUCUGAGGGGAAAGCGUGGGGUGAACACAGAACAUAAACCCAGCCGAGGCAGCUGCCACUUCAGAGAGCCAAAAUAGGGUGGGCUCAGUUAACAAAACAAAUCGCACACUUCAGAAUGUGUUAGCAUUGUCAGGCAGGAUAUCCGGGAAUUUUAGUAGUUUCGUACUUAAUAGUCAUUAGGUGGCUUUGGCUGAACCUCCCCAUCUAUGAAGUUUCCCUGGCGUCAGCUGCCGUCUUUGCAUCUCCCUCUGGCAGGAUUUGGGAGUGAGCUUUGUGGAGGUGAGAGGAAAAAGGAUGGAUCCCAGGAGGCUGUCCUUCCCGGGUUCCUGGGUAGAGGGCUCAGCCUUAGUGAGGCAGAGACUGCUCAUGGAGUCCAGGUUGCCUUCCUCUCCAGCAGAGUUGAUGGAAAGAGCUUGGAUGUGUGGAAGGAAGCUGUUAUACAAGUUCAAGGUAAUGUCACUCGCCAGAGCAGGACCUUCGCUUUUUACCUGAGCUUACCUCACAGGCUCGCAUCUUCCCCUCAGCUCUCCUCCCCUCCUCCUUUCUCUCCUGGUUUGCUUUUGGUCAGAAGUGAUUCUUCACGUUUGGGAUCAGUGGGGUGCUGCCUAAGCUGGAUGUCCAUUCCUACCAUGCGUAAGUCAUGGCUCAGUGGGAACCACUUAGGGCUCGCAUUUAGUCUAGUCACUAAUAGAAGAGCCAGUCUGCCCUAUGUUUUAGAAAAAUCCAGAUUUGAGAAACACUGGUGGUAGCUCAGCUCAGUUCAGGUAGGGGAACCACAGUGCCCAGAGCUGCACACAUCGUGUCCACACUGUGAGCCUCCUGGAGGGGGACAGAACCCUACUCACCUGUGUGUGUCUUAGGGUAGGUGCUCGAAAUGUUUGCUGAGAAAAAAAACUAUAAAAGGAAGGGAAUACUCAGGCCAGAGCCUCCUCAGGGGAAACUCAGUGGGGCCAAAUAAAAGUCUUUUGUUUCACUUUAUCUUAGGAAUUGCUGAUUUGAAGGCCUCAUAGGUCGUCACUGCCUCCCCCAGCUAUAGUUACCAUUUGACAGCACCCCAGUUGGUUGGGGAGAUGCCUGGGACAGCUGGCGGCCUGAGGCGGAGACAGGAGCUGGAGAGGCAGGUCACCCUGGGAUUUGGGUGGGACAGCUCAUUGAGGAGGCUGUGAGGGGGCUGCCGCUUCCCCAUCCUCCUGCGCCCAGGCGGUGAUGGCAAGGACGAGGGCGCUGGUGUCGGGGUAGCCCAAGCUGGUGCGAGAAUUUAAGGCAGCAAGCAUACCCCCUGCUUGCUGAGCUUGAGAAACAGCCUGCAUACAGUGACAGUUCACGAACGGUUACUGCUGUGUCCCCCUGAAAACAGCAGCGCUUUCCUUCCGCCCUUUCAAUGACAGGCUGUAGCUUGCCGUCUGCGGUGAGAGGCAGAGUUUCUCACGCCAUGUUGAAAUCUUUCUGUGUUGCUCCAGGGGUGGGCUGCUAUUGAGUGGAUAAUUGAGCAUUCUGAAAGCGCUGUGAGCUAACGGGGUCCGCGCCUGCGCCUGGUGACAAACGGCGGAUUUAUUGUCAAGGGAAACUCGAACAUUUGUCAGCGCGUCUCCAAUGAAGGCGGUUCGGCUUCCGCCAGCUGUUCUCAGUGCUUGGUCCCUGAACACGUCCUCUAACCUGUGCGUCAUUCGUGAGGAGCCUUUCACUAGGAGGUCCGCACAGUGUUAAAGCUGAUCUGACGGGAGGCCUUUUUCAUUUUGGAUACAUCGCCCCCCAAAAAAAUGAAAGAGGAAAGAAAAAAAGAGAAGGAAAGAAAAAUGAAUGAAAGGAAGGAAGGAAGAAAGAAGUGAGUCCUGAAUAUGGUUCACUGGCCCAGUCUGGAAGAGGUGUGGAAUCUGCUGGAAUCUUCCGCCUGCCACUCACGGCCUCCGCCAGGCUCCUCCGUCGUGACCUCACGGCACAGGAGGCCCGGCCAUGGUGCAGGCGGAGUGCUCGUCCGUUGCAGAGAGAGACUCGGUGGUAGGGCAAGGGCUGCAACGCCCUGCCUGUCCCCCCGCCGCUGAGCCAGCAGGUGGGGAGCCGGCCCCACCCGCAGCCCAGCACCCCCACCCCGUGCCGGUGUGUCCUCGUGCUGCUCUUGUGCCUGGUCUGUUUUCCCCCAGCUGCAGCUCCCACAUCUGUCCUGCCAACUCUUGGGAUCUUACUAAACAGCUUCUCUCUUUUCAGAUCCGUUUCCGUUCCGUGCCCCUUAAUCAGCAGUCUUCACUGCCAGUCUCUUCACACAUAGCUGGCCACCAUCUGUCACCUCAGGUGCUGUCUCUGUGCAUCCUUCUCUUCCCCUCAAUCACUGUGUGCAGAUCUGCGCACUAGAGUAGGGGCGUCUGCCAGCCACAGUGACGCGUGCGGUUGGAGUACCGUGAGCUCUCCGCUCAGAGACAGUCAGCUCCGUCCAGAGCAAAGUGUUCCGCCCUCGGGCCACAGCCCCCUUGUCCUGCCCACCUGGGCCCAGUGACCCCCAGGGCUGAAGGCCCGUGUUACUUCUCACCAUUCAGCCCUGGCCACAGGAAGGCUCGCUCACCCAGAGCCGUGUUAGGAGGCAGUGCACGAGUGCUUGUGAGUUUAAGCCGUCUCUUAGCUCUGAGGUACUUCCGCUUGGGAGUUUUAACUUUCCCAUUUUCAAAAGUAAAAUGUAAAAUCUCUUUCAGUAUGUUUCAAAUUAUAAAAACUUGAGCGAAGGCCUCUUCUGUAACGGAUGGGUAGAACUGUAUUCUGUUUGUUAGCUCUUGCUUUUUCUUUGAUAAUAGUGCUUCUAAUCCAAAAUGAAAUUAAAUUCAUUUAUAUAUUUACAGAAUGUGUUAUGCACAUAGCUUAAGGUAAAAUACAGUUAAAAGGUUUAUGGCAAAAAAAAUCCCUCUUAUCCGUUCUGCAAAGCCCGCUUCCACCCUUCCCACGGGACUCACAUCUUUUGGCUAUUUCUGGCAUUUACUGCUAGAUUUCUAAAUAAAUAAGCAUAUUCUGCUAUUUCUUCAUUCAACAAUUUUUGAUGUCAUCUGCUGACUUCCUCUUGUGGUAGAUUAUUAUUUUCUCUCUCUUACUUCUUCUUCCCAUCCCCCAAUUCCCCAGUAUAGCUAUAUUGUAAUUUAUGGUUAAAAGCACAUGGAGUUUCCAUAAUUUUGAAAAUACAUAACUAUUGUUUAUUACCCAGCCAAGCAAUAUACUGUAAUUACAUUUUCUUUCUCAUAUAACUGUUUUUUUUUCCUUUGAAGGUAAUAAUUGUCUUACUCUUUUCAUCCAUUUACUUUUAUUUUUUAGGAGUCUCUGGCUGAGUCCUUCCACACUCGUCACCCAUUCUCUGCAGUAACAUCAUUGUCCAAGGUCAGACCUUUUGGGAAGCACACCCCUUUCGGGUUUCCCUGGCACCGCCCUUCCUGGAAGCCAGGACUGGCUCUCCUCUGGCUGAGCAGCUGUGUCAUCUUUCCUGGGCAUUUCCUUGGCCCUUCUCCUCUCCUGGAGCCCUUGUCUCCUAGAUUCCCUGCUUCCUCUCUCUGUCCUAUCACAAGAUGGGAAAGCACAUAUGUAGUAGCUUCUAAGACUUGGCACAUCUGAAAAUGUCUCUUCUCUUCUCCUGCUUCAUUUAUAUCUUGGCUGGAUGUAUAAUUCCAGAUAAAAAUACUUUCACUCAGAAUUUUGAAGGCAUUGCUCCAUUGUUUUCCACUCCAAUUCUUGAUCCUCUGUAUGUGACUUUUUUCUCUCUGAAAGCUUUUAGGAUCUCUUUAUCCCUGAUUUUUGUUUUUUAAAGAUUUUAUUUUUCCCUUUUCUCCCCAAAGCUCCCCCCCAGUACAUAGUUGUAUAUUUUUAGUUGUGGGUCCUUCUAGUUGUGGCAUGUGGGAUGCCGCCUCAGUAUGUCUUAAUGAAUGUUGCCAUGUCCGCGCCCAGGAUCCGAACUGGUGAAACCCUGGGCUGCUGAAGUGGAGCAUGUGAACUUAACCACUCAGCCAUGGGGCCCUAUCCCUGAUGUUUUGAAAUUUUAUAUGACUAAGCCUUGUUUGAAGUUAUCUUUUAAAAUUCACUGUGCUGCAUUAUGUGUGUUAAAUUCCUGGUUUUGAUAUUGUACUAUAAUUAUGUAAGAUGUUACUGAGGGGAUGUGGGUGAAAGGUACACAGGACAUUCCUGUGCUAUCUUUGUAGCUUCCUGUGAAUCUAUAAUAAUUUCAAAAUUAAAAGUUAAAAAAAUAUAUAAAUAGUGACAUCAUGGAAAAUGGCAGAGGUGGACAUUCCAAGAAUCAGCCCCUCCAAUGAAACAGUCGAUAAGCUAGCAAGAAAUGACAAACUCAACUUUUGUAGAACUCUGGAUUUUAAUCAGAUACUUAAACCAACUAGGGGAGUGCCUAAUGAAUCUUAAGUGACCUACCCUGCAGAUUUUGGACUUCCCAGCCUCCAUAAUCAUGUAGGCCAAUUCCUUAAAAUAAAUCUCUCUCUCUCUCUUUUUCCAAACAGACAUUCUAUUGGUUCUGUUUCUCUGGAGAACCUUGACUAAUACACUAUUGAAGCUAAAUUCGUGUCAAUUCAAACUAGAUUUUUUUAACUUAAGAUGUUAAUUAUAAUCACCAGGGUAACCAGUAAGAAAAUAACUAAAAAAUUAUACAGAAAAAGAAACAAAGGGGAAAUCAAAAUGGUAUACUAGAAAAAAAGAAAAUCAGUCAAACACAACAGAAGGCAGUGUGGAAAGAAUUCAAGAACAAAAAGUCAUAAAAUUUAUAGAAAACAAAUAGCAAAAUGUAAGAAGCUAGUGCUUCCUUAGCAAUAAUUACUUUAAAGGUAAAUAGGUAAAAUUCAUCAAUUAAAGGACAGAGAUUGGCAGAGUGGAUGAAAAAACAUGAUACUACUAUAUAUGUUGCCUAGAAAAGACUCACUUUAUUUUUAUUUUUUUUUUUUAAAGAUUUUAUUUUUUCCUUUUUCUCCCCAAAGCCCCCCCGGUACAUAGUUGUAUAUUCUUUGUUGUGGGUCCUUCUAGUUGUGGUAUGUGGGACGCUGCCUCAGCAUGGUUUGAUGAGUGGUGCCAUGUCCGCGCCCAGGAUUCGAACCAACGAAACACUGGGCCGCCUGCAGCGGAGCGCGUGAACUUAACCACUCGGCCACGGGGCCAGCCCCAGAAAAGACUCACUUUAGAUCCAAAGACACAAAUAGGUUGAAUGUGAAAGGAUGGAAAAAGAUAUUCCGUGCAAAAGAGAGCUGGGGUGGGCAUACUUAUAUCAGAAAAAAAUAGACUUUAAGUAAAAAAUUAUUAUAAGAGACAAAAAAGGACAUUAUAUAUUGACAAGAGGGUCCAUUCAUCAAGAAGAUAAAAGUUACAACCAUAUACAUACCAAACUACAGAACCUGAAAAUAUAUGAAGCAAACAUUAGCAGAACUGAAGGGAAAAAUAACAAUUCUAUAAUAAUAGUUGGAGACUUCAAGAAUUCACAUUCAAUAAUGGAUAGGACAUCUAGACAGAGAUCAGUAAGAAAAUGAGGACUUGAACAACACUGUAAACUAACUUGACCUAACAGACAUAUAGAAAACACUUCCUCCAGAAAGAGCAGAAUACACAUUUUUAUCCAGAGCACAUGGAAUAUUCUUCAGGAUAGACCAUAUGUUAGGCCAAAAAACAAGUCUCAAUAAACUUAAGAAGAUUGAAAGCAUAUAAAGUAUCAUUGGUGAUUACAGUGAAAUGAAAUUAGAAAUCAGUAGCAUAAGGAAAACUGGAAGUUUCACAAAUAUGUGGCAUUUAAAAAACAUACUUCUAAUAACCAGUGAGUCAAAGAAGAAAUUACAAGUGAAGUUAUAUUUUGAGAUGAAUGAAAGUGAAAACACAACAUAUGAAAAACUUAUGAGAUGCAAUGAGGGCAGUGCUCAGAAGGAAAUUCAUAGUUACAAAGACCUUCAUUAAAAAAAGAAGAAAGGGGGCCAGCUUGGUGGUGCAGCUAUUAAGUUCACACAUUCUGCUUCAAUGGCCUGGGGUUCGCUGGUUUGGAUCCCAGGUGCGGACAUGGCACUGCUUGGCAAGCCAUGCUGUGGCAGGCGUCCCACUUACAAAGUAGAGGAAGAUGGGUAUGGAUGUUAGCUCAGGGCCAGUCUUCCUCAGCAAAAAGAGGAGGAUUGGCCACAGAUGUUAGCUCAGGGCGAAUCUUCCUCAAAAAUUAAUUAAAUUUUUUAAAAAGAGAAAGAUCUCAGAUCGUUUACCUGAUUUAAGGACUAGAAAAAAAAAAGAACAAAGUAAACCCAUAGCUUGCAGGAGGAAAGAGAUGAUCAAGAUUAGAGAGCAGACAAUAUAGAGAAUAGAAAGGCAAUAGAAUUCUUGAAGCUAGAAGUUGUUUCACUGAAAAGAUCAUUGAAAUUGGAAAACCUUUUAGUAAGACCAAGAAAAAGGAUUCAAAAUAAAAAAAUCAGAAAUAAAAGUGGAGGCAUUACUACAGACAUUAUAGAAAUAAAAGGAUAUAAGAGAAUACUAGGAAUAAUUAUAUACCAACAAAUUAGAUAACCUAGGUGAGAUGGACAAAUUCCUAGAAACACAAAUUACCAAAACUGAUUAAAGAGGAAAUAGAAAAUCUCAACAGACCUAUAACAGGUAAAGAGAUUGAAUCAGUAAUUUAAGACCUCCCAACAAAGAAAGGUCUAAAUAUUAAAGAAGAAUUAACACCAAUCCUUUGUAAAUUCUUCCCAAAAAUAGAGGAGGGAAUACUUCCUAACUCAUUCUGUAAGACCUAUAUUACCCUGAGACCAAAGCUAGGCAAAGGCACUCCCAGAAAAUAACACUUCAGACCAAUAUCCUUUAUGAAUACUGAUGCAGAAAUCCUCAACAAAAUACUAGCAAGCUGAAUCCAACAGCAUAUUAAAAGGAUAUACACCAUGACCAAGUGGGAUUUAUCCCAGGAAUGCAAGGGUGGUUCAACAUACAAAAAUCAAUCACUGUAAUAUACCUUAGUAAUAGAACUAAGGGGAAAACCUCCACAUGAUCAUCUCAAUUGAUGCAGAAAAAGCAUUUGACAAAACUUAACACCCUUUCAUGAUGAAAACACUAUUCUAGGAAUAGAAAUAGUAAUUCUAGAAAUAUUCUAGGAAUAGGAAUAGAAGGGAACGUCCUCCACAUAGUAAAGGGCAUUUAUGAAAAACUCACAGCUAACAUCCUGCUCAGACAGACAUCUUUCACUCCAAGAUAAAGAAUAAGAGAAAGAUGCUCAUUUUCACCACUGCUCUUCAACACAGUACUGGAAGUUCUAGCCAGAGCAAUUAGAUAAGAAAAAGAAAUAUUAGGCAUCCAAACUGGAAAGGAAGAAGUAAUAGAAGUAUCUCUAUUCACAGACAACAUGAUCCGGUAUGUAGAAAAUCCCAAAGAAUCCACAAGAAAGCUACUAAAGGAAUUCAGCAAAAUUGCAGUGUACAAGAUCAAUACAAAAAAAAUCAAUGUAUUUCUUUACAAUAGCCAUGAGCAAAUUAAAAAUAAAAUUAAGAAACCUACCCAAUUUACAACUGCAUCCAAAAGAAUAAAAUACAUAGAAAUAAGUUAAAGCAAGAAGGUGAAGGACUUGUACACUAAAGAUUGCAAAACAUUGAAAGAAAUUAAAGAAGACAAAUAAAUGGAAAGACAUCCAUUGUUCAUGGAUUGAAAGACUUAAUAUUGUUAAGAUGACAAUACUAUCCAAAAUGUUCUAUGGAUCAAUCUAAUCCCUAUCAAAAUGGCUACAGCUUUUUUUUCAGAAAUGGAAAGCCAAUCCUCACAUUCAUAUGGAAUUGUAAGGGACCCUGAAUAACCAAAACAGUAUUGAAAUAGAACAACAAAGUUGGAGGGCUCACAUUUCCCAAUUUCUUGCAAAGCUAUAGUAAUCAAAACAAUUUGGGACAGGCAUAAAGAUAGAUAUAUAGACCAAUGGAAUAGAAUUGAGAGUCCAGAAAUAAACCUGUGUAUCUAUGGUCAAUUGAUAUUCAACAAGGGUGCCAAAAGAAUUUAAUGGGAGAAAGAAUAGUGUCUUCAACAAAUGGUGCUGGGACAACUGAAUAUCUACAUAUAAGAGAAUGAAGUUCGACUAUUAACUUACAUACAAAAACUAACUCAAAAUGGAUCAAAGACCUAAAUAUAAGAGCAAAACCCAUAAAAUUCUUAGAAGAAAACAUAGGGGUAAAUAUUCAUGACCUUGGAUUUGGCAACGGGUUCUUAGAUAUGACAACAAAAGCAUGAGCAACAGAAGACAAAAUAGAUAAAUUCGACUUCAUCAAAAUAAAAGCUUUUUUGCAUCAAAGGACACUAUCAAGAGAGUGAAAAGACAACCUAGAGAAUGGGAGAAAAAUUGCAAAUUGUAUAUCUGAUAAGGGUCUCUUAGCCAGAAUAUAUAUAGAACUCUUACAACUCAACAAUAAAAAGAGAACCCAAUUUAAAAAUGGGCAAAGGAUCUGAAUAGACAUUUCUCCAAAGAAGAUAUGGAAAAUAACAAGCACUGGAAAAGAUGUGGAGAAAUUGAAACCUUUGUUCGUGCUGGUGGUAAUGUAAAAUGGUAUAGUCACUCCACUCCUAGUUAUAUACCCCAAAGUAUUGAAAACAAGUACUCAAAUACUUGUACACGAAUGUUCAUAGCAGCACUAUUUACAGUAGCCAAAAGGUGGAAAUAACUCAAAUGUCCUUCAACUGAAUGGAGAAACAAAUGUGGUAUAUCCAUACACUGGGAUAUUAUUCAGCCAUAAAAAGGAAUGAAAUACUGAUACAUACUACAACGUGGAUGAAUCUCUAAAACAUUAUGCUAAGUUUGAAUAAUGAAAGAAGCCAGACACCAAAGGCCACAUACUGUAUGAUUCCGUUUAUAUGUAAUAUCUAUAAUGGGUAAAUCCAUACAAAUGGAAAGCAGCUUGGUUGUUGCCAAGGGCUGGGGGGAGGGGCAAAUGGGGGAAAUCUACUGAAUGGGUAUGGGAUUUCCUUUGGGGGUGAUGAAAAUGUUUUGGAACUAGAUAGAGGUGGUGUUUGCACAACAGUGUGAAUGUACUGAAUACCACUGAAUUGUAUACUUUAGAAUGGUUAACUUAUGUGAAUUUCACCUCAGUAAAAAAGAAAAAAAUAUGAAUAAAUACAUGCGUGUAUACAUACAUAAAGCUGAGGUCAGGCAGCAAGGCAUCGAAAAAAAUCGCUUUGGGAACGUGGUGGUGCCUUUGGUUCCGGUAGUGAUUUCUUUGAUAAUUUCCCCAUCAUUCUCUCUUCUCUUUUUCUGGAAGUCCUCUUAGUCAUAUGUUGAGCUUCCUGGAUUGAUCUUGUAAUUUUCUUAUAUUUUCUCUCCUCUUUGUUCUCCCUUAUGGGAGAUUUCCUGGACUUUAUCUUCCACCCCUUUCACUAAUUUUUAUUUUGGCAAACUGUAUUUUUAAUUUCUGUCUUUCCUGUUCAUUAUCACAUCUCGUUCUUGCUUCACAGAUGUAGUGUCGUAGCUCCUCUCUCUGCAGAAAUAAGUGCGAAGUGAAGCUUUCUUGUGUGUCAGCGUCUCCUCCACGUCCCUUCCCAUCGCAGGCUUUCCUCAGAUGUCUCUUCAUACUGACAUGCCCCAAACCCCGCGAGAGCUCCGGGUGGAGCGCGAGGCUUGCUGGGGCUGGGCUUCACUGUCGGGUGUGCUGUGACUUCUUCCUUGAACCCCAAAGACCUUGUCUCUAGAUUGGUUCAGUUUCUCCCAAUAAGACUCAGCCUUUUGGAGGAGGCGGGGGUGUGUCUGUGUUUACCUAGGGGUCUAAGAGCCCAGGCUGUGAAAUUACCCCUUCCAGCCUGUCCCCUGCCCUCCCCUGCGUGCCCUUUCUCUGGACAGUCCCCAGGCUAUGACGGCUCCUGUCCCUCCUGUCCGACCGCCCUCCGCUGCAUCACUGCUCCUCCCUCUGCUUUCCACCUUCACGUGUGGGCUGCGAGGCUGCUGCCUCCGUGUAGUUUCUGAAGUUUGUGUUUCUGUUUUUUUUCCUUAUAGUUUUGUGGACAUUUCAGAGAUAAGGGCAAAAGGUCUUCUUCCCCACCAUGUCGAAAUCAAAGUUCUGUUCACUUUUAUAAACAAUAUUAAUUGAAAAAAAUACAUAAAAGCAAUCCAUGUUUAUGGUUAAAAAAAAAAGAUACAGGAGUCUCUGGGGAAGAGUGAAGUCCUCCCCAGGAGGAAGACUGACUGGCCUCUGCCAGUUGACUCCCGACUUUUAAGGCUUCCAGAAAUGUUUGCUGCACAUGCAAGUAUGUGUGUUUUUUUUCUUUUCUUUCUUUUAUUAAACACAGAUGGGAUCAUACUGUGUACAUUGUUUUGUGUCUUUUUCUACAUUAUCUUGCAAAGUCCCCUCUUUCGGAUUAGCUGUAUGAUAGCACUGCAGUCUUAAUUCCUGAAGGACUCGAGGGCUCCUUGCAGGGUCGCGAGGCCUUGGAGUGGGUGAUCUGCCGACUUAACAUGGAAUUGGAAGGCCUGGGGGCCCCGGCCUGCGCCAGAGCGUGAAGCCGCGGCGUGCUCCCUGCGCCCAGGACACGGAGACAGAGGCCGAGCAGCAAGUUGAUGGGCGUUCAGCAUCCACCCUGGACACUCGCUGGACGUGUGGUUUGCCGGAAGGGGCAUUCGGGAUCAGUGAGUGCCUAGAGACGUUUAGGAAGGGGACUCCAGAAAGGCAGUGAAUUUGCUCUAUGUUGGCCUAUAGCUUACCUUUACCAUUUUUUCUUUUUUUGGUGGAAAAGUUUUGUUUACUAAACAAGAAGUUAAUUUAAAUCUUUGAUAUCCCUUCCCCAGAAACCAUAGUAUGAGAGUGAAAAGGGGGUAACUUUCUCCCACUCUAUAACGUGCAACAUUCAGAUAGAAGUUUCUUAUGGGUUUUGAUGCCCAGGUUUGCUGUGAUUAUAGACCAUGGAUAUUCCCCUUGGCUUUCUCAGAAAGGACGCUGUUUCAGGGGCUGGAGUGUUUUAACGAUGCAGAGCCUGAGAUUGCCUUUGGGAGCUUGUUAAUACUACGGAUUUCAGGCUUUCAGGCCCAGGGAUUCUGCCAGGUCCAGGCUGUGGCUCAUCGCAUCAGGUGGGAGCUCACCUGGCUGAGGAGCGCCGAGCCUUCCAACCAGUGCUGGGGACUGGCCUCUGCUCCGCUGCCCUGCCAGUGCCGCAGCUUUGAGUUAUAUGGACAUCACAGCCGUUCUGCAUGCACACUUAAUUUAUUUACCAGAUUUUAUUCUCUUUCACUGACCACAGACCUUAGAUUUAAUUUAGGAGAUGGGUUUUUAAUUACAUGUAUAUAGCAAGUCAAAUAAAACAUCCCUAUUUCACUUUAGUCUCUGAACAUGAAAUGGGACACAGUUUUCCUUAUGUUUUAACCAAACCAACCAGUUUAGGUUUUUUAGAGGAGAAAUGAGUAUAAGAAGAAACUGAUUAUUUUGAUAAUGUCAUAUUACUUGCCUAAAAUUUUAUUUUUUGCCAAAAGCACAGAAGUAAGUCUAGAAUUCUGUGCCUCUCUUUAGUUUCCAGUACUGCAUCCCUGUUUUUGUGGCCGUGAGUUUGGUAGGAAUAAAGGUUGAAUGCACUAGUUACUGUGUCAACUCUUCUGAUAAACCAGAAGUUACUGGAAUGGAGGUCAAGAGAAACUAGAGUGUUCCCUUGGAAGCUGGGCUUUCCAGAGCUGUGUGAGCCCACAGGCCCCCGGGCUCCCUGUGUCGGUGCCUGCCCUGUGGUUUGGGAGCUAAUGCCGUACUGUUAGCGAAGGAGCAGCGCGGGAGCUCUCUGGAACCAGAGGCCUCCCCUCUGGUAGGCAAAGUGAUGGCACUAAAUAUUCUUUGAAGACUCUUGCACUCAUUUGGCAUUAGAACCAGCCAUUAUAACUGUAUCUGUCUAAUUCGGCAGUGGCUUUUUGUCUUCUCAAGAGUGUGACUGCCGCCAGCAUUUCUGUCCUCCUGCUAAGGAGGGGGCGGGCGUGCUUUGACAGAGGAGUUAACUGCUGGGUGUCUAUGUUAUGACUUCCAUUUUUUUUCCUGAACAGUCUGCCCUAGCAGAUCUCUAAUUACGGCUGAGCCUCAGUGAAUGCUCAAUAUAUUACGAACCAGUCUUUGUAGGUUCUGUUACAACUUCAGUACCCAAAGAAGAGGUAGGGUUAUUCUGGUGACUUUAGUGCCUGAGGAGAGUGCCCUUUGUGAGCCAGCCAUUGGAUUAUAGGUGCGCAGGAGCAAAUGUGACCAUGGAGCUUUGGUUUUCUCGUCUGUAAAGUGUAGACACUGAUACCUACCUCAAAGGAUCAAACCAGAUGUGAAGAGACUCAGCGCCGGCCUGGUGGCACCCAGUCCACUGUGCAGUUCCUGCUGGUGCUGGCGCGUCGACGGGUUGUCACUGGGCUGCGGAGUCCCUGGGGGGAACACUGGGCUUCAUUGCUGGAACAUACUUUUUUAGUGAGGGUAUUUUUUUUUUUUAACUUUUAUAAUCACUAGUAAGAGUUGACUGCCAACAGUAAAAGAGGCGAGCAGUAAGAAAGGAGUGAGUGCUGACUCAGCACUGGCUUGCAUUUCGGGCCCUCCCUUCUUAUCUGUUCUGUGCUUGUGUUUUCAGCUGUUAUAGGAGAGUUUGCUAAGGGCAGCGGUUGGCAGACAACAGCCUGUGAGCUAAGAAUGUGUUUUGCAUUUUUAAGGGGUUGUAAAUAAAAUCCCCCCCUGCAGCUGAGGAUUCGACAGAGACUGAAUGAGGCCCAUAAAACCUGAAAUAUUUACUAUCUGGUCCUGCAAAGAAGAAGUUUCUGUGAAGCCAACCUGUUCCCUAGAGAUUCCACUGCAUCUCUCAAUCAACAUAAAUCAAAGUAAAUUUGGUCCCUUCCACCAAACUGCUCCUCUUUCCGCCAUUUCUAAUUAGUGCUACUUCUAUUUCCCAAAUACAAAACCCAAGUUCUUUAAGACUUCCUCCUGCUCUUUCUCUCCAUAGCCAUUUGGAAACCGAAUACUCCUUUAAAAGGUCUCAGAUCAAUUCUGUCUUCUCACAUUCACUGUCCCAGUCUUGUUUUAGGUGCUUAUCACCUGGGGUAGCCAGCUUCCAAGACAGCCCCCGAGGAGGCUGCCCCAUGUCGUGACCAUCCCUGCGUGUAGUAUUCUCCACCCUGAGCAGGCUGACCUGUAGGGUCAGUGGAAUACUGCGGAAUAUUCCACGAUGGUGUGUGACUUCCCAGGUCAAGUCAUAAAAGACAUUGCGGCUUGCACCUUGCUCGCUCCUGCAUCACUUGCUCUGGGGCAAGCCAGCUGCCGUGUAGUGAGGACACUAGAGGAGCCCGACAGAGAGGUCCACACAGCAAAGCUGAGUGAGGGAGCCAUUUGGGAGCAGAUCCUCUAGCCCCAGUGAAGCCUUCAGCUAACGGCAACUUCAGCUAACAUCUUGACUGCAACCUCGUGAGAGACCCCAGGCCAGAGCUACCCACCUAAAGCUGCUCCUGAUCUCUGACGCAGAGAAAAUUGUGAGAUAAUAAAUGUUUAUUGUUCAAGUCCAGAGUUUGGGGGUAAUUUGUUUUGUAGCCAUAGAUAACUAAUCCUUCACUUUAUACAAAAUUUGUGCAAUCAUCUUCUAUAACUGCUCUCCCUUUCAUUCCGUUCCAUUUCUUGUCAAAUUACUUGAAAAUAAUCCUGUCAUAACUUUCUUUUGAUUCAAAA
RNAcentral lists this long non-coding RNA (13804 nucleotides) under Equus asinus (donkey). Its description in RNAcentral is "lncRNA (ENSEASG00005025505.1)". Lineage: Eukaryota; Metazoa; Chordata; Mammalia; Perissodactyla; Equidae. The record is from RNAcentral.